UCUUUAACUACAAUAAUUAAAAUUUGUAACCAAUUUGAAUAUAGUUCUAGUAAUUACAAUUGAACUUCUUUUAGUCUCUCCACCAUAAUUAAUAUACCAUAUUAGACACAAGAUCAAGUACAUCUUCUGUACUUUUGAAAGUACGAAGGAUUACAUGCUUAUAAAUUUUUUCGAUGAUAAGAUAUUUGAUUUGACGAUCGGCUCCGUUAGGCAUAACCUACACUAUUGGAACUAUCUGAAAAUCAAAUUUCAUAAUUUUUUAACAUUAUUUACCAAGUGAUCAAAAAGUCUCAAAAAAUGACUAUUUUAACGAUCGAUGUGAUAUAUUUUCGAGUUCAACGGUGUAGAACAAUUCAAAUUAUAUGAAACUUUAAUAAAAAAUUCUACUUAAUAUCAAUAAUAAGACUAAUGCUUUUGAUUUGAAAUUUGAGUCUUUUAUUACUGUUUUUUAUAAGUUUUUUUUUUAAAUCGUUCAUUUUUAAACUACUCGUUCACUAGGCAAAUGAAGUCAAAAAAAUAUAUAAUUUGAUUUCUACAUAGUUCCAAUAACAUAAAUCAUGACUAACAAAACCGAUCGCCAAAUCAAAUGUCCCAUCAUCAAAAAUAACUUACAAGUAUGGAGGCUUUCGUACUUUCGAAAGUAUAGGAGCUUAGCUCUCAAACGUAAUAUUUAUAUCCAAAUACCAUUACAAUUGCUGUAUAAAUAUAUUUGCAACUAUGUUGGACCAAAUAGCCCUAACAUUGCCUGUUUUCAAAAUAGAAAGAUUGUUUAAUCAGGCAUUGUUCGGACUACAAAAAUUUACACUUUUUUUUCUAUAGUACAACUCAUGCUAAAUUAAGGCCACUACUAGAACAAGUAAGAAUUCUAUUCAUAUGGGAUACUUCUUGGGGUGGAAACGAGCCGAGCUCGAGCGAGCUUACCUCGGCUCAAAUUCGGCUUGAAAUUAAUUUCGAGCUUAAAUUUAAGCUCAAGUUUGGAUUGAAAUUAAUUCGAGCCGAGCUCGAGCGAGCCUAAUUUCGAGUCGAGCGAGCUCGAGCCCUAAACGAGCCGCUUGAAAUUCAACAUCAUGCGAUCAAUAGUUUAAUUUGUAUAGAACAUUAUCUAUAAUUUGAUACAAAAAUAUGUCUAAUAGUUCAAAGUACAAAAUAAUUAUAUAUUUAUAAUAUGAAAAAAAUAAUUUAUGAGUUGAAUAUCUAAUCUUUUCAGCCUCACAUGUCU
Molecule: long non-coding RNA, 1219 nt
Filed under: Ananas comosus (pineapple)
Lineage: Eukaryota; Viridiplantae; Streptophyta; Magnoliopsida; Poales; Bromeliaceae
Description: long non-coding RNA (ACOM_LNC005902)
Source: RNAcentral